This 376-nucleotide ribosomal RNA is filed under the name uncultured bacterium. RNAcentral describes it as "bacterial SSU rRNA". It matches the Rfam family "Bacterial small subunit ribosomal RNA", at positions 521 to 896 of the family's 1533-position model. The record is from RNAcentral.
UAAUACGUAGGGAGCAAGCGUUGUCCGGAUUUACUGGGUGUAAAGGGUGCGUAGGCGGCUUUGCAAGUCAGAUGUGAAAUCUAUGGGCUCAACCCAUAGCCUGCAUUUGAAACUGCAGAGCUUGAGUGAAGUAGAGGCAGGCGGAAUUCCCCGUGUAGCGGUGAAAUGCGUAGAGAUGGGGAGGAACACCAGUGGCGAAGGCGGCCUGCUGGGCUUUAACUGACGCUGAGGCACGAAAGCGUGGGUAGCAAACAGGAUUAGAUACCCUGGUAGUCCACGCUGUAAACGAUGAUUACUAGGUGUGGGGGGUCUGACCCCUUCCGUGCCGGAGUUAACACAAUAAGUAAUCCACCUGGGGAGUACGGCCGCAAGGUUG